This 253-nucleotide ribosomal RNA is filed under the name uncultured bacterium. RNAcentral's name for it is "partial 16S ribosomal RNA". It matches the Rfam family "Bacterial small subunit ribosomal RNA", at positions 524 to 776 of the family's 1533-position model. The record is from RNAcentral.
UACGGAGGGGGUUAGCGUUGUUCGGAAUUACUGGGCGUAAAGCGCGCGUAGGCGGAUUAGAAAGAUGGGGGUGAAAUCCCGGGGCUCAACCCCGGAACUGCCUCCAAAACUACUAGUCUAGAGUUCGAGAGAGGUGAGUGGAAUUCCGAGUGUAGAGGUGAAAUUCGUAGAUAUUCGGAGGAACACCAGUGGCGAAGGCGGCUCACUGGCUCGAUACUGACGCUGAGGUGCGAAAGUGUGGGGAGCAAACAGG